AGAGUUUGAUCAUGGCUCAGAUUGAACGCUGGCGGCAGGCCUAACACAUGCAAGUCGAGCGCGAAAGGCUUUCGGGCUGAGUAGAGCGGCGGACGGGUGAGUAACGCGUAGGAAUCUACCUGGUAGUGGGGGACAACUUGGGGAAACUCAAGCUAAUACCGCAUACGCCCCAUGGGGGAAAGCGGGGGACCUUCGGGCCUCGCGCUAUCGGAUGAGCCUGCGUAGGAUUAGCUAGUUGGUGGGGUAAAGGCUCACCAAGGCGACGAUCCUUAGCUGGUCUGAGAGGAUGAUCAGCCACACUGGGACUGAGACACGGCCCAGACUCCUACGGGAGGCAGCAGUGGGGAAUAUUGCGCAAUGGGGGCAACCCUGACGCAGCCAUGCCGCGUGUGUGAAGAAGGCCUUCGGGUUGUAAAGCACUUUAAGUGGGGAGAAAAGGGUGACCGUUAAUAGCGGUCACCUGUGAUGUACCCACAGAAUAG
RNAcentral lists this ribosomal RNA (482 nucleotides) under uncultured Nitrincola sp. RNAcentral's name for it is "bacterial SSU rRNA". It matches the Rfam family "Bacterial small subunit ribosomal RNA", at positions 8 to 489 of the family's 1533-position model. Lineage: Bacteria; Pseudomonadati; Pseudomonadota; Gammaproteobacteria; Oceanospirillales; Oceanospirillaceae. The record is from RNAcentral.